GAAGAAAGAGGGAGGCGUGCCUAAUACAUGCAAGUAGAACGCUGAAGGAGGAGCUUGCUUCUCUGGAUGAGUUGCGAACGGGUGAGUAACGCGUAGGUAACCUGCCUGGUAGCGGGGGAUAACUAUUGGAAACGAUAGCUAAUACCGCAUAACAGUAGAUAUCGCAUGAUAUCUACUUGAAAGGUGCAAUUGCAUCACUACCAGAUGGACCUGCGUUGUAUUAGCUAGUUGGUGAGGUAACGGCUCACCAAGGCGACGAUACAUAGCCGACCUGAGAGGGUGAUCGGCCACACUGGGACUGAGACACGGCCCAGACUCCUACGGGAGGCAGCAGUAGGGAAUCUUCGGCAAUGGACGGAAGUCUGACCGAGCAACGCCGCGUGAGUGAAGAAGGUUUUCGGAUCGUAAAGCUCUGUUGUAAGAGAAGAACGAGUGUGAGAGUGGAAAGUUCACACUGUGACGGUAUCUUACCAGAAAGGGACGGCUAACUACGUG
This 495-nucleotide ribosomal RNA is filed under the name uncultured bacterium. Its description in RNAcentral is "partial 16S ribosomal RNA". It matches the Rfam family "Bacterial small subunit ribosomal RNA", at positions 38 to 507 of the family's 1533-position model. The record is from RNAcentral.